This is a long non-coding RNA of Triticum aestivum (bread wheat), 3573 nucleotides long. RefSeq lists it as uncharacterized. The record is from RefSeq and is a predicted model, not a curated record. The transcript is spliced from 7 exons. NCBI's taxonomy places the organism in Eukaryota, Viridiplantae, Streptophyta, Magnoliopsida, Poales, Poaceae.
GCGCGCGCUGCACCGCGUCUCAUCUCAAGUCGGGCAGGUCCCCAGCCCCCACCACACAAACCCUAUCUUACAAAUCCCCGCAGCGCCGCCCUCCUCACUCCUCCAUCUUUCCUCGUCAGCCACCGCUGCACCAUUCCACUUCGCUCCUCUCUGUCCGAUGGUCGUGCUACUAGGAGGAAGCCGCCGCAGAAGAGGACAGGGGACGCCCGUUGGCGAGCUUCCGGGCAGGAAGCCGACGGGGAGCACGCCAUCAACGAGCCCUCGGGGAGAAGCUAUUGGCCGAUCCUGAGUCGUCCACCAAAGACCGCCGGUUGCGCCGUCAUGAGAGGAGCAGCAUGGGAGGAGAUGAGGAUAUGUCGUCGGCGUCGGAAUCCCUCUUCCCUGGCUGCAUCUUCCCCACAUUUUGGUUCUUCAUUUGGUUUGCUACAGGAAUAAAUGUUCUAGGGUUGGAGAAGAGGGGGUUGAGCAGCAACUGAGCUUAGGUGAGUGCUCAGGUUGAUCACCUUCACCAAGAAAAGUGUGAUGCCAGUUAUGCACAAGAAUAUCUUAUCUGCACCAUGACAAUAAGGUCUUGCUGCAGUCACGUAGAUCUUGGGAGUAUGGUGCUUCGAUUUGGUUCCUGUGGUGGUAUCUUCCCUCCCUUCUCCGUCCUUCUAUUUCUUACUUAUGCUUCGAUGCUUUGAUAUGUUGUAUUGGCUUAAAUUAUGUACUUGGUUGAGUCCUGCUUGCUUAUUGAGAUGAAUCAUUUACAAAGUUAUAGUGUUAUUUUUAGAAUUUGUAAUGACACUGUUACCUUCAGAAUUUGAGAUGAACCAUUUCUAGAGCGUAUAUGGAGAGCCUAGAAGCAGCAGGGGUCGGUGGAGCAGCAGAUGCGGUCGAUGGAGUAGCAGGAGCAAGGAGCUCGAGAUGGUUCAGGAAGAGUGUCUACAGAGAUUAUAGAACUGGAGAGAGGUGCCUUAUGAUAGUAUAGCUAAAGAAUAACAGGUAUGGGUAGAUGGCACUGCCACCUAUGUGUUUCAUUUUUAUUUGUUGCGAUAUUUCACACACCCCAUAUUGGCACCCCCUCUCUAUUUUCCCAUGCUUAUAGACUUGGAGAAACACAUGCUGCUUGUCUCUAUUUAUCUUGGUCUUCACAUUAUAAAUUAAAAUGUAGUUGGAAAGAAUUGUGGGUCAUUUUGGCAUGGAGCUCGAGAAUGAUAAUACCACCUCAAGUGGGGAUAAAGCAGAACAAGAAAUAGAUGAGAUGUAGUUACUGAAACUAGAAAAAAAAUACUCUUCUUCUGAUUAUGCAUAUGUAAAGUCAUGAUUACGUGUGGACCAGAUGUGUGCUCUUUUCCAUUGCAUACCAGAUUGUCGGCUAAAAGAGUUUUUUGUCUUCCAGCAAUGAGCUUUCAUUUUCAUUGUGGAGGUUUGUUCGGUUCAUCUCCUCUCAUCAUUUUUUUUCAGUUUAUCUCUUCAGAAGUUUGGGUGCCUCUGUUUUGCUACUUUUUAGUUCUCAUCAUUAAGGUUUGUAUCUUUCCUCCCCUCUUGGAUUGUUGCAUCCUUAUUGUGUCUCAUCGUUAAGGUGGCACAUAUAAGUAUUAAUUUGUUGAGUUCUGCUAAAGUACCGCUGAAAAUUCAAAUUCUAUAUACUUUACUUUUGGCUAUACACGAGAAGAAUACAGUACACACAUUUGAGUAGUGAUUAAAUGUGAAGACCAUUGUGCAUGUUUUUCUGAAUGUGGAUUAAUUAAGUUUUAUUGCUUUAUGGUGAGAUGAAUAUGUUGAUUACAAUGAUAUAAUAUUAAGAGAUUUUCAAGUGUAAGCUUGUAGCAAAUUAUCUUCUAAUCCGGACUCCAUAUCAUUAUUUAUAUUGUAACACAAAUGUGAUCUAUUAUACUCCCAGCCUCGGUACAUGAAGGCAUGAUAUUACCCCUCUCCCCCUGCCCCUUCUAUGUAUUUUUUGAUUUGUUUGUGUGACUGUACUGAAUGGUGCUUGCAGGUCCAUGGACAUUGUCAGAAUUUUCACUUUAUCGGAGUGUCUUAUUUUCAGAUCUCAUGUUCCUCAAGGCUUUCUUUCACUGCUGCUCUAAACAGGGAACGUUGAUGACAACAUACAGGUAACUCUUUCAAAAUCAUGGAUAGUAUAAAUAUACAGUUGUAUGAUUAAAUUUGAGGUUAUUUCUUAAACCGGCAUAUACUUUCCUUGCCUUGAGAGCACAAUUUAUAAUCAAAUGGAAACGGCAUACCUUUCUUUACUUGGAACAUGGCAUCUAACAGAGGAACAUGAGUACUAUAUAUGUAUAUCAGUAUAUCGCGAGCUCUAAAAAGGUUUUCGUCUAUUCCUUUUGCACAUCAGGCUUUUUCCUGACUGUCGCCAGUACAAAAAGAGCUUGCUGCCAUGUAUAGGAGAAUAGAAUACACGUUCUUGAAAUGAAGCAACUUAUUAAACUAAACCAUGGUGAUGUACUCCUUUGCCACUAAUUUAUUGAGAUCCUGCUAAAAAUAAGGGGAAGACAAACAUCAUCCCGCCACUUAAGUUAUCCCAUAUUUAAAUUAGGCCUCGGCCAAUGUUGGAGAAGACAGACUAUAGGGACGAGCCGCUAGAGCACGUGUUCAUGGUAUGUUCGCGCGCAAUAUGCUGAAGUUCGUUGGAAGGAAGAAGAGCUGGCCGGCGAGGAUGAGGACAAGGCGGGAUGUGAGGUGCUUGCACGCGCAGCAGCAGGAGGCCGUCCGUGAGGUGCUCCUCUGGAUGCUCCCUUCCGGCGUUGGGCCUAGGUGUUCAACGCUGCCCUCACCAUCCCCUUCUUCCAAUGGCUCAUCGGCCCGUUAGAGGUUAUUGAGGUGGAAGUCAAUGGUGUGAGGCGGAGAAGUGGACUGCUUAUAAAGAAACACAAGUAUGUAUGAAUAUGAUGGAUGCUUCCAUUGCCAACUGAUGAAAUGCAUGUCUCGUAUUUGCGCAACUGCUGCCUGGAUUCACCGCUGCCGCCUCCAGUCGCUUCCUCCUGGGCAUCCCGUCUCUAGCAAGAAGCACAACCCUCUUGAUCCAACUAGGAACAUCAAAAUCAAAUGGGAUAUCAUUGAGUGGACUUCAGAUGGCCAUGCUGAUAAUCUGACACCUAAUAAGGACCAAGAGAACAACAGAGAUGCUAAGAGGCAACCUUUUGGGUUUAAGGAUAUAAACAACAUGGCUUACGAGGAUUUGGACUGCUGUUCUUUUAGUUCCACUCUUAAAUCUUUUGGUUCUUGAAGGCCUGCACUUUCUUGGUGGAGUGGGAGCAAAAUAAUUCAGAGGCUUUAAAGCUGCUGCACUUUAGUAGUUAGGAUAAAUUCUUUGUUUUGGUUUGAAAUGCUCCCUGAUUCCUCCUAUUUGAUUGAUUCAUCUGAUGGCCAUUUGUCAGGCAAAUAAACAGAAGGCAUAUGUAUUGUUUUGAGUGAAGCCAUCCAUACAAGUCGAUAUAUUAAUUAUCCCAUAUGUAGCAUUCAAGAUAUAGAGAAAUGUUAUUGUUCUUCUGCUAAUUGGUUGCUUGACCAAAUGUACUAUAAAUGAUGUUAUUAUUGUACCAGAUAUAGAGAAAUGUUAUUGUUCUUCAA